This 272-nucleotide ribosomal RNA is filed under the name uncultured Lactobacillus sp. Its description in RNAcentral is "partial 16S ribosomal RNA". It matches the Rfam family "Bacterial small subunit ribosomal RNA", at positions 270 to 524 of the family's 1533-position model. Lineage: Bacteria; Bacillati; Bacillota; Bacilli; Lactobacillales; Lactobacillaceae. The record is from RNAcentral.
AAGGCAAUGAUGCAUAGCCCGAGUUGAGAGACUGAUCGGGCCACAUUGGGGACUGAGACACGGGACCCAAAACUCCUACGGGGAGGCAGCAGUAGGGAAUCUUCCACAAUGGACGCAAGUCUGAUGGAGCAACGCCGCGUGAGUGAAGUAAGGGUUUCGGCUACGUAAAGCUCUGUUGGUAGUGAAGAAAGAUAGAGGUAGUAACUGGCCUUUAUUUGACGGUUAAUUACUUAGAAAGUCACGGCUAACUACGUGCCAGCAGCCGCGGUAAU